GGCGAGAUGGCCGAGCGGUCUAAGGCGCCAGACUACGGACCAGCGCUUUCUGAAGUGGAGUGCAUCUUCGAAUCCUACUCUCAUCA
Marasmius tenuissimus is the source of this 86-nucleotide non-coding RNA. The record is from the annotation of a GenBank genome assembly. NCBI's taxonomy places the organism in Eukaryota, Fungi, Basidiomycota, Agaricomycetes, Agaricales, Marasmiaceae.